Tachyglossus aculeatus (Australian echidna) is the source of this 400-nucleotide long non-coding RNA. RefSeq lists it as uncharacterized. The transcript has 2 exons. The record is from RefSeq and is a predicted model, not a curated record. Lineage: Eukaryota; Metazoa; Chordata; Mammalia; Monotremata; Tachyglossidae.
GCUAAAACAAAUCUUUAUCUCCUGGCCAUUUUGUGUGGAGCACAAACCGAAUUACCAAUUCUGAACUCCACCCACACAAACUAACUCUCGAUCACUGGGGAACUGAUGCAUUCACAGGAUUUAAAACUAAACUGUCGCUCUUUGAGCCAUUCUUCAAACUCAUAAUAAAACAGGCGGCCUGUGUGCAGGGAAGAGGGAGCCGUCGUAAAGGUGAACAGAAACAGUCUACCCAAGAGCGGAAAGUCUCCCAAGAGGAGAGAGGAAAAAAAAAAAACCUGGAAAGAAGGAUGAUACAGCAACUGACCACCAAGACAAUCCAAUUUUUAAAAUCAUGGCAUCAUUAAAAACUGGGACCCUAUAAUACAAGCCCAACAAUGAAAUAAAGCCCAAUUUGCCAUUA